RNAcentral lists this ribosomal RNA (253 nucleotides) under uncultured bacterium. Its description in RNAcentral is "partial 16S ribosomal RNA". It matches the Rfam family "Bacterial small subunit ribosomal RNA", at positions 524 to 776 of the family's 1533-position model. The record is from RNAcentral.
UACGGAGGAUGCAAGCGUUAUCCGGAAUGAUUGGGCGUAAAGCGUCCGUAGGUGGUUUGGCAAGUCUGCCGUUAAAGGUCGGGGCUUAACUCCGAAGCGGCGGUGGAAACUGCUAGGCUGGAGUACGGUAGGGGUAGAGGGAAUUCCCGGUGUAGCGGUGAAAUGCGUAGAUAUCGGGAAGAACACCGGUGGCGAAGGCGCUCUACUGGACCGUAACUGACACUGAGGGACGAAAGCUAGGGGAGCGAAAGGG